UACGGGGGGGGCAAGCGUUGUUCGGAAUUACUGGGCGUAAAGGGUUCGUAGGUGGCCAACUAAGUCAGACGUGAAAUCCCUCAGCUUAACUGGGGAACUGCGUCCGAGACUGGAUGGCUUGAGUGCAGGAGAGGAACGCGGAAUUCCAGGUGUAGCGGUGAAAUGCGUAGAUAUCUGGAGGAACACCGGUGGCGAAGGCGGCGUUCUGGACUGCAACUGACACUGAGGAACGAAAGCCAGGGGAGCAAACGGG
This 253-nucleotide ribosomal RNA is filed under the name uncultured bacterium. RNAcentral's name for it is "partial 16S ribosomal RNA". It matches the Rfam family "Bacterial small subunit ribosomal RNA", at positions 524 to 776 of the family's 1533-position model. The record is from RNAcentral.